Xiphophorus couchianus (Monterrey platyfish) is the source of this 1012-nucleotide long non-coding RNA. RefSeq lists it as uncharacterized. The record is from RefSeq and is a predicted model, not a curated record. NCBI's taxonomy places the organism in Eukaryota, Metazoa, Chordata, Actinopteri, Cyprinodontiformes, Poeciliidae. The transcript has 3 exons.
UUAGUGAUGCCUUUCGGCCUGUCAAACGCACCUGCCUGUUUCCAAGCCUUAGUUAAUGACGUUUUGAGAGAUUUUUUGAACAUUUUCGUUUUUGUUUAUCUUGAUGACAUAUUGAUCUAUUCCAGGACUCUGUCAGAACAUAAGAGACAUGUAAGAUUUGUUCUCCAGCGACUGCUGGAGAAUAAAUUGUUUGUAAAGGCUGAGAAGUGCGAAUUUCACCGCCCAUCAGUCACCUUCCUGGGAUUCGUGCUCGAGGGCGGACAGGUAAGACCAUCGGAGGAGAAGAUCAAAGCUGUUCUAGACUGGCCUACCCCAGAGAAUAGAAAACAACUUCAACGAUUUCUGGGGUUUGCUAAUUUCUAUCGGAGGAUCGGAUGUGGGUUCCGGGUUCUUUUAUUUUAGAUCCUUCUUUGAUUUCUGAUUAUCGUUCCUCCCUGCCUUCCUCGGUUGGACCGCCAGGUGGCGGUCGUUGAGGGGGGGGUACUGUUGGGAUCCGGAGCUGUUCAUCCACCAGAGGGCGCUGGAGGCCUUGUUCCAUCUGAGGGCGUCUCCUGAACCACGCACCUGAAACCAUUCUGCCAUCAGGAGCUGUAUAACUGGAGGAGGCUGCUGACACUUCCCUGCCAGAUUGUUAGCUAGUUAUGGUACCGGCUCACUCCAGCUCUACUCUUCCUGUUUGCUUCCUGAAUUCUGAUCCACCUGUGUCUCUGACCUUUUUUCAGCUGAUUGACCUGAUACGUACUGAAGAUAGAUCCAGCCCAGGACCCCUCCGAACCUACAGCUCGGCAGCCUGCUUCUGGCAGAACAGUUCAGACUUACCUGUCCGUCCUCCAACGCCGCCGCAGCCCGCAGCCCUCCGCGCCUCAAAACAGACUCCGGAUUUCCCAGGUUUUUUCCCCCAGUCCUUUCUCCUCCCGAUCGGAGCUGACCUGAGAUCCAGUCCCAAGCGCUCCCGGAUUGUUUAUCUGUUUUUUCCCCCUUCCCCUUGGUUGUAAUAAAUCUCUUUAAUCAA